CCUACGGGGGGCAGCAGUGAGGAAUAUUGGUCAAUGGACGCAAGCCUGAACCAGCCACGCCGCGUGCAGGAUGACGGCUCUAUGAGUUGUAAACUGCUUUUGUACGAGGGUAAUAUCAGAUACGUGUAUCUGCUUGACAGUAUCGUACGAAUAAGGAUCGGCUAACUUCGUGCCAGCAGCCGCGGUAAUAAGGAGGAUCCAAGCGUUAUCCGGAUUUAUUGGGUUUAAAGGGUGCGUAGGCGGUUUUAUAAGUUAGAGGUGAAAAUUCGGGGCUCAACUCCGGACGUGCCUCUAAUACUGUAUGACUAGAGAAUAGAUGCGGUAGGCGGAAUGUAUGGUGUAGCGGUGAAAUGCGUAGAGAUCAGACAGAACACCGAUUGCGAAGGCAGCUUACUGAACUGUAACUGACAUUGAUGCUCGAAAGUGUGGGUAUCAAACAGGAUUAGAUACCCGAGUAGUC
This 460-nucleotide ribosomal RNA is filed under the name uncultured bacterium. Its description in RNAcentral is "partial 16S ribosomal RNA". It matches the Rfam family "Bacterial small subunit ribosomal RNA", at positions 338 to 795 of the family's 1533-position model. The record is from RNAcentral.